Molecule: long non-coding RNA, 276 nt
Filed under: Olea europaea (common olive)
Lineage: Eukaryota; Viridiplantae; Streptophyta; Magnoliopsida; Lamiales; Oleaceae
Description: long non-coding RNA (OEUR_LNC009322)
Source: RNAcentral
GAAAUCAAGCAUUAUUUGUUCUGGUAUAGUGACUUCAUGUUCUUGGUAUUUCCUAGGGGGUAUAUAUUGUGCUAAUUCUUCAAAAUCUUUGUGUAUGAUAAUAUUAUCAGUUAUUUUUCUUAAAUUGUUAUGAUGACUAGUACUAAAAGCAAAAAUUGAUUUUAUGCUUAUACUAAUAGCCUUACUUCUUCGUAACAUUUUUAAAUUACCAAUUCUAUAAUAUAGAUUGAAACUUUGGUCAAUAUUUUCAUCAUUUAAUGAUAUUGCAUAAUUUGG